GGUCCGGUAGCUCAAUGGAUAGAGCAAUUCCGUCCUAAGGAAGAGGUUGUGCGUUCGACUCGCACCCGGAUCACCA
Molecule: transfer RNA, 76 nt
Filed under: Candidatus Saccharimonadota bacterium
Lineage: Bacteria; Candidatus Saccharimonadota
Also listed under: 1 other name
Description: tRNA-Arg
Rfam family: tRNA
About the family: Transfer RNA (tRNA) molecules are approximately 80 nucleotides in length.
Source: RNAcentral